RNAcentral lists this transfer RNA (69 nucleotides) under Marmota monax (woodchuck). RNAcentral describes it as "tRNA.Ala". The stretch from base 4 to 64 matches the Rfam family "tRNA", at positions 6 to 65 of the family's 71-position model. From Rfam's summary of the family: Transfer RNA (tRNA) molecules are approximately 80 nucleotides in length. The record is from RNAcentral. Lineage: Eukaryota; Metazoa; Chordata; Mammalia; Rodentia; Sciuridae.
GCUUGUGGCUCAGGGGUAGAGUGCUUGCCUGGCAUGUAUGAGGCACUGGGUUGGAUUCUCAGCACUGCA